RNAcentral lists this long non-coding RNA (332 nucleotides) under Mytilus galloprovincialis (Mediterranean mussel). Lineage: Eukaryota; Metazoa; Mollusca; Bivalvia; Mytilida; Mytilidae. The record is from RNAcentral.
UCUGGUCAGGCCGGGUAUUAUGAAAUCACAGAAAAUUCAAGAACAAAAUAAUCCAAUAAUCUGUAGUCUUGUUGUCAAAGAAAUAUACAAGUAAAUUCACUAAUCUAUUUAUUAAAAUUCCAUUCCAGGACACUAUUUACAUUAUAUAUACAGUUUACAAAAUGUAUAGUUCAAACAUUCAUUAGCACAUUACUUUCACACGGUAUCAUAAACGGCACUCUGUAUAAAUUCGGCAACAGUGUCCAAUACUGUUCACUCACAAAAACCACGCAUAGCGUCCAAUACUAUGCGGACAAAACCACGCAACAGUGUCCAAUACUGUGUGGACAAAA